This 655-nucleotide ribosomal RNA is filed under the name uncultured marine eukaryote. RNAcentral's name for it is "SSU rRNA". It matches the Rfam family "Eukaryotic small subunit ribosomal RNA", at positions 618 to 1290 of the family's 1831-position model. The record is from RNAcentral.
GUUAAAAAGCUCGUAGUCGGAUUUUGGCUGAGAACGGUCGGUCCGCCGUUAGGUGUGCACUGACUGGUCUCAGCUUCCUGGUGAGGAGGUGUGCUUCAUCGCCACUUAGUCACCGUGGUUACUUUGGAAAAAUUAGAGUGUUCAAAGCGGGCUUACGCUUGAAUAUAUUAGCAUGGAAUAACACCAUAGGACUCCUGUCCUAUUUCGUUGGUCUCGGGACGGGAGUAAUGAUUAAGAGGAACAGUUGGGGGCAUUCGUAUUUCAUUGUCAGAGGUGAAAUCCUUGGAUUUAUGAAAGACGAACUUCUGCGAAAGCAUUUGCCAAGGAUGUUUUCAUUGAUCAAGAACGAAAGUUGGGGGCUCGAAGAUGAUUAGAUACCAUCCUAGUCUCAACCAUAAACGAUGCCGACUAGGGAUCGGCGGAUGUUAAUUGAUGACUUCGCCAGCACCUUAUGAGAAAUCAAAGUUUUUGGGUUCCGGGGGGAGUAUGGUCGCAAGGCUGAAACUUAAAGGAAUUGACGGAAGGGCACCACCAGGCGUGGAGCCUGCGGCUUAAUUUGACUCACCACGGGGGAAACUUACCAGGUCCAGACAUUAGUAAGGAUUGACAGAUUGAGAGCUCUUCCUUGAUUCUAUGGGGUGGUGGUGCAUGGCCG